AAAGUGUCUCACAAAGAGGGGAGUCUGGGAGGGAGGAGAGGAAGGGGUGACAAUCACUGCUCUGCUGUGGACCUGAAUGCCUGCACCUGCACAAACCCUCUUGUUUUUUGUGAUUGGCCAUUAGCAAGAAACAGAAAUAAGAUGAAGAGUCUCCUCACUUCUGUGAGAAGCAUAGAUUACUGUACACUUUGGAAAGGAGAUGACCAUGAUGAUAAGAAGUCUGUUCACUUUUUAAUCCCCUAAUGACUGAACGGGACAGUGGUAAGAGUGGGUGCAGGAUAGGAGACACGGCUCUGUGUCCUGGGUUUCUGCUGUGUAACCUUUGGAAGGUCACUUGAAAACCUGCAGGACCUGCUUUUUCCUCUGCAACAUGAGGAAGUGAAGUUAACCAAACAGACAGUGAAUACAAAUCAAUAGAUCUAUUUAUACC
Long non-coding RNA from Cavia porcellus (domestic guinea pig), 430 nucleotides. RefSeq lists it as uncharacterized. Lineage: Eukaryota; Metazoa; Chordata; Mammalia; Rodentia; Caviidae. The transcript has 3 exons. The record is from RefSeq and is a predicted model, not a curated record.